This 393-nucleotide ribosomal RNA is filed under the name Bacillus cereus. Its description in RNAcentral is "bacterial SSU rRNA". It matches the Rfam family "Bacterial small subunit ribosomal RNA", at positions 1083 to 1480 of the family's 1533-position model. Lineage: Bacteria; Bacillati; Bacillota; Bacilli; Caryophanales; Bacillaceae. The record is from RNAcentral.
AGUCCCGCAACGAGCGCAACCCUUGAUCUUAGUUGCCAUCAUUAAGUUGGGCACUCUAAGGUGACUGCCGGUGACAAACCGGAGGAAGGUGGGGAUGACGUCAAAUCAUCAUGCCCCUUAUGACCUGGGCUACACACGUGCUACAAUGGACGGUACAAAGAGCUGCAAGACCGCGAGGUGGAGCUAAUCUCAUAAAACCGUUCUCAGUUCGGAUUGUAGGCUGCAACUCGCCUACAUGAAGCUGGAAUCGCUAGUAAUCGCGGAUCAGCAUGCCGCGGUGAAUACGUUCCCGGGCCUUGUACACACCGCCCGUCACACCACGAGAGUUUGUAACACCCGAAGUCGGUGGGGUAACCUUUUGGAGCCAGCCGCCUAAGGUGGACACGAUUUGCG